GGUGGGGUGAUUCAAGUAAUAUUUUGACACUAUCAAUUCAUUUUUUAUGGUUUUAGUAUUUUUCAUAAGUUUGAAUCUUACUUGUUUGAUAAAUGUGCUAAGCCUGGGCGAACUCUUCUCUCUCUUUUGCUGCCGAAGCACCUGUAGCUUUUGGAAACUGGAUAUAAGUGACUACCGUGUGUCAUCAUUCCCGCAACGCACACCGCCUGCAGAGCAGACGUGGCAUCUGUAAAGAUGAUGUUUGCUGCAGGGUUUCAAGAGAUCAAUGCUUCAAGAUUCCCAUUCCAAUAGAAUAAGCCCCAAGGGGGUCGAAUGGAUCGAGUCGUGCCAGACUGCAGCAGAAAGACCUGGGGGGAGGCAUGAGCGAGGCGUCACCUGCUGUCAGAACACGGGACCUCAAAGCCUUUGCUUUUCUCCGUUGGGACGGGGUAAUCCCUGGACAUCUGUCAGGGAGGAGUCCUCCAAGAUGUGCCUGUGGAGAGGAAGAUGCAGAGGCGUGAGGCUGAAAAACUGUUAUAGUCUUUUUAAUGAGACCCAUACAACAAAGUCAACAAAGGAGGGAGCAGCAGGCGCCAGCUGAGCUUUAUCUUGACCUGGCAAAAGGCACCAUGAAAUCUUACAAUUAAAACAAAGAAAAGCAAAGAGCCAUGCUAGAUGGCAGGAAAGCAACUGGGUAUACUACUAGAAGACGUUACGACCAUUAAAUAUCCAAUCAGUGGAAGAAGUCCAAACCAGUAUGGAAUAAAGAACCGGCGUUUCCCAGUCGCAAGUCUAAAGUAGCCAUUCAUCCAUUCAUCCAUUCCCCCAUCCACCUGA
Doryrhamphus excisus (bluestripe pipefish) is the source of this 816-nucleotide non-coding RNA. The record is from RefSeq and is a predicted model, not a curated record. Lineage: Eukaryota; Metazoa; Chordata; Actinopteri; Syngnathiformes; Syngnathidae.